Long non-coding RNA from Orcinus orca (killer whale), 2639 nucleotides. RefSeq lists it as uncharacterized. The transcript has 4 exons. The record is from RefSeq and is a predicted model, not a curated record. NCBI's taxonomy places the organism in Eukaryota, Metazoa, Chordata, Mammalia, Artiodactyla, Delphinidae.
AGGAUAAGUAAGAAAGAUCUGGGAGGAGGGCUAGAGACCAGGAAAUAUGACCUCGUAGGAAAGCUGAGGAAGGCCAGAAUUCAUGGGCGCAGCAACAGACCGCCCGUGAGGUGUGCAGCCCUGCCUGUCCUCCACCUGGAGAGAGCAGCAGACCGGGUGCCCCUCCCUGAGAAGCCUCCUGGCGACAUGUCCCGUUGUUUGUGCUCCCAGAGCACCCCACACCUCCCCAUCUAGCCUAGGACUGGGCUUGCUCGUUCAGCUUGUCUGUCCACCAGACGGAGGGUUCCUGAGGGCCAGGACUGGAAUGUUCUCCACACCCAUGCACAGGCAUGUUUCUGCAUUCUCGUCCCGCAUGAGCCAGUGGCCACAGCCCAGCAGCCUUGGCAAAAGGAAGAGCCAACCCACUCCUCCCACGGCCCUGAGCUGAGCAGGUGGCCAGUGGGUGUGUGUCAGCAGCCCAUCAGUGCCCUUGUGUAUGUGAUGUCAAGAGGCUCUGGGUGUGACAAAGCACACGUGCGUCACCCUGGGCAUCAUGAUCUCCGAAGCGAUGAGAACAGCCAGCAUCAUCAGAGGCAAAUUGGACCUUGUCUGCCAAGCUCGGGGAAGGAGCAAGCCAGGACAGGAGGUGUGGGGAGGCCAUGGUGAGGGGGUGGGGUGCUCCCCAGGGCCCAGCAGCCUGUCCCUGGAUAUGAGCAGGCAGGGAGGCCGCACCUGGGUCUCCGACUGACGGAUGGGGAGGUUGCCGUGAUAGUGGGUCCAGUGUGGCUGAGAAUGUGCGGACGUGCUAAUGGGCCGUGAGAAGCAGGAUUCACCCUGGGAGAUUGCUUCUCAGCUGCCUGGUAAGCAGAGUGUCCUGGGAGCUGCUGGCUGCCACCCACAGCAGGCUCAUCACCCUCUCUGGCCUAAAACACCCCAAAAUGCUGACAUGGCUGCAGAGGCGGCACCAGGAACAUUAGACGGGGACUCAGGAGGCCUGGGUCCUUGGCUGCCAACUUGCUUAUCCUUCCAUUUGAAAAAUGGAGAUGAGGAGCCCCAGCCCCAUUUCCUCCUGGGCCAGCUGUGAGAAGUGUCUGCUACAUAGUGAUAAGAAGAGGUUCCUGAUACCCAAGACUGGUUACUGCCAACUUCCCCUAAAGGAACCCUCCCCUCCUUUAUGCCGGAGCCUCCCAGAGCCCACGGCAUUUGCCUGUGGGUGUCAGCAGACGGGGACACUGCUUACGGGGCUUCAGUCACCGAACCCCCUCUCCACUCUGCCCUCCUUGGGGGUCUGAUGAGCAGGAGUCCUGACAAUCUCUAGGGUCUUCCCUUCAUUGGCUGCUUCCUCAAACACACCCAGGUCUCCCACAUUCUGCAACAAUAAACAACCUUCUUUCUCCCAAACUUAAAAAAUUGAAGAAAAAGCAAGAGUGUUUCUCUCGACCCAGCAACCUGGGCCACUUCCUUCCUCCCUUUGUUGCUGCCAAACUUCCAGAACAAGUGUCUGACAUCCACCGCCUCCUCUUCCCACCUCCCACACUCCAUGAACCCACCACAAUCUGGUUCCCACCUCCGGGCUCCCUGGAAGAAAAGUUGUGCCAGGCCCGUCCCCCCAGCCCCCUGCCAGCCCCGGCAUCCCCCACUAGGUCUGAUUGAUCUGCCUUGAUUGCCCCACUGACCACCCAGCUUUGAGACCUAGCUUCCCUCUUCUUUCUGCCACACUGUCCCCGGACCGCCCCCGCCACUUGCUGACAGUGCUUUCACUUCUUCAUCCCUCCUCCCCACAGCAUUGCUGCUCCCUGCUCGCUCUCCACCCAUUCUUACCUCUUCCCCCUCCAUCCCUUCUACCCAGGACCAUUAGCUGGGAUUUCUGGGGAGGCUCUGGGUGUUCAUGAACACACCUAAAACGUUAACAAAUUUAUUCUAUGUCUGUGCAUUGUUCUGGGCAGAGGAUGUAUAUUUUUCAUUAGCUUGACAGAGGAUUCUCUGACACCCGCCCCCCCAAAAAUGAUGAAAGCCACUGACUAUCACCCAAGGUUGAAAUCUGCUUCUAUACCACCCCUCCUCUCUUCAAAAUGCUAGUCCCAAAUUUCUAGCUACUCACCAUCUUGCCUGGAUGCUAUGUGAUAGGCACCUCUUAAUCAAAGUCCACUCUCCUCCCCCCACAUCUCCCCACUCUGGGUUAAUAUACCUAAGCAUUCUACCUCUCUGAGACAAGCUGGGGUGAUUUCAGAAAGUUCCUGCUCGGGACUUCCCUGGUGGUCCGGUAGUAGGAUUCUGUGCUCCUAAUGCAGGGGGCACAGGUCCAAUCCCUAGCUGUGGAACUAAGAUCCCAAAUGCCACAUGGUGCAUCACGUGGCCAAAAAAAAAAAAAAAAAAAGGAACGUUCCUGCUCAAAUGUAUACAGACCUGUUAUCUCUGAGAGGAUUAGCUUCCAAUACCUCUUGGUGGUCAGUAAUUUACAGCCCAGGUUAGCUGAUCUGAUCACUUGGCAAAGAGCAAGCCCUGGGGGCAUGGAGCCCAGAGCAGAUGGAGUUUGAAUGGCUGGGGGAAGGGACAGAGCUGGGGUUGGCCACCAGAGAAGCUCCACCGCAGGGGUCAGAGUGUGGGCCACACGUGGCUACAUCGGAAGCUGCAAUAGUAUCUUGCCAUUGAGGUCCAUU